UCUAAACUGAAGAGGAAUAUUAGGUAAAAGGGGCUUUUUUCUCCUAGUGAUCAGAGAAUCUUUUUUUUUUUUUAAUACUCCUACCCAAUGUCUCUGAUUACAUACUUAAAAUCUGAUCAUCAUGCAUGUUCUUGGAGCAAGCAGCCUUUCAGGUCAAGUUAGCAGAAAGCAGCAGGCAUGGUUUUCCUACUGGGAAGACAAUUCAGGUACAGGCUGUGUGAUCCAUAUUGAAGAAGCUGGGGACAGCUUGGCAUGACUUAUACUAGAGACAGUAAUACUUAAUUUGAUUUAAAUUUGCCAGAGUGACAGUUGUAGCAAGUGAUAUGACGGUCCCUUCUGAUGUAAAAUGUAAUGAAAAUUGUAGCAAAUUUUUAAAAUGUCAUUUUGGGAAAGAUGGUGGAGAGAAAAAGAAACAAUGUGAGUAGGUGAAUGUGCCUGGGAAUGGCUUGUAAUUUUUUAAUCUGCUCAGGUGUUUUAGAGCUACCUGUUUGGUACAUUGAAAGGGUAUGCAGUAAGCCACAAGAAGACCAAUAUCAUUAUUUUUGUUUGUAGGAGGAAAAGAUACAGGGCAGAAAAACAAUGUAGCAAUGAGGAAGAAGCAAGUUUGUAAGGCAAGGCAAAGAACAAAAGCCAGAAAAAGCAGAAGGAAUAAAACUAGAAGUUACAUAAUAAAGGCAAAAGGUAUGAGACAGAGCCCACAGCAGUCAGUUGGAGUCUUUCCACUUGGAUCAGGCUUAUUUAAAACAGAAAACAAAAAAUCCUCCCUCUUGGCAAGAAUCACAUUUGCCCCUACUCCAAACUCUCCUAAUUGUCUGCUUGUUGAGACUACAGCUAAACUAAAUUUAAAUUUUACUGUAUAUCAUAAAUUGUUGUACUAGAAGAAUGCAACAUAUUAAUGAGCCCUGCUCAGAAAAUAAAUGCAUAUUUUUACUGUGCAUUUUGUUUCCAUAAAUACCUUUGCGUUACUGCAGUCACAGCUGUUUCCCUGGCCUGAUUCAUGCAGUAGCACAGUGACUCUGCUUUUUGACAGAAAGAAACACAUCCAAGGUGAUGAGCAGAAGUAGCAAUGGAACAAUUACACAGGAAGAGGAUUCAGUCUCUAGUCUCCUAAAUUCUAAAAGAACUUAGGCUGCAAUUUCCCCUUGGAUUAAUGAAGAACAGAAGAAGAGGAUAGAGCAGCAUGACGCUAAUGCAGUGACAGAAAUGCACUGAGGGACGUCAGGAAAAGUGUAGGAUCUUGGUCUCUGUGAAAGCAGAUAAAUACACGUGCCAAGGUGUGUCUGGGAAUGUUUCCCAUCCCACACUAGCAUAUACUGCCAAAGGAGGAGCUUGACUUAAGGCGUUAUUGGGAUAAGAAGAGAGAGAAGGUGGCAGUGUCUGGUGGACCAUGAAAAUUGGAAGGAAAACAUUUAAUGUAAAUGAAGUGACCUUGGAAGGCGCCUGCAUAUUGAAAUAUGUAAAAGGGCUGUUUUCUUUUUCACCAAAGAAGCAUAUAAUCAUAAAAAGAUAAGAGAACAGCAUUUGGUAUACAGAGUCAGUUCUGUUGUGUACUUAAUCUAGAAGCGCUGGCAAACUUCUACUCAAGGAAAAGGUUAAAAAACAAGCAUCAAGAUUUGUGAUACACAGAGCCAGCUGCUCAGGACUGCACAUGUGAAGAACAUUCCUUUCUAAUCUUUGCAGGUGAUCAGGUUGUUCCCUGACAUGGGACCCUGGAAAGCUCGUAUUACCUUAGGCUGGCUCAGCAGUGACUGUUCUUGGGUUGCCAACUGAUCAUCCAGCCCCUAAAAAAAUCUUGCAAUCCUUAUGUGGUAUAUUCAUGUUGUAGGGAAUGUAAUGUUACUAUUAUGAAUCCCUCUUAUGUUAAAUUGGAUGUCCUUUAGUUUGAAAGGUGAUUCAUUACUUCUAAUUCCACAAAACAGAAGUCUGUUUUCAUUAGGAACUUCAUAAUUUUCUGGAAAUAUAGGGGUUUUUUUCCCAGAUGGAGAGAUUGUACUGUUCUUUAUUUUUUGCCCUAGGAAAAUCUUGGGUUUUCACUGGCUUUGUUUUUGGUCUUUGCUCCCGUCGAGCAUCUACUUCUUUUAAACUGAAAUAAUCGAAAGAACUCUAAAUGUUUUCAAUAGGCUUGUAUAUCAAUAUGUUUAAUCCUUCUGGAUAGAAACAUUAGAGCUAGGAGGGAAGAUUAGCUGUUUGGUACCAAAGGCAAAAGGGAACAACCUACUGUGUCUAACAUAAUUUACAUAAAUUAUUGUGUUAUUUAUUCUUGAUUCCACACAGUACUGUUUUGCUGCUUUACAUGUUCUGGCUAGGUUAAUAUUUUGUACCAAUGAGAAGACAAAUACAACUUUUGUGCUUUGUUUCAGGGUUAGAGAGUCAUCCGACUUAACAGGCAGGAAAUUGUGAAUUGAGAAUGGUAUCUAAGUUCGAUGGGAUGACAUCCAGAGUUCCCUUCCAGCCAGAAUUCUACUGUUGUUUUGAGGGAAGGGUAUGGAGUUCUGUCCAAGAAGCCAUGAAAGCCUCUCAGAAUAAACAAGAACAACCCAAUGGCAGCAGUUGAGCGGUCCUAUUGUUCCGAAUCCUUCAUCUGGAGGACAGAAGUUUGUGGUUCAUGGGUCUGGAGGAUCUGAUUUGGUCCAUGGGAUCCUAUAGGCUUGGACUGGCGUGGGGCCAGGCUGAACUAGUGGCAGUUGCUGCAGCACAAAAGGGAGUUCUGUUGUCAAGCUCAAGAAGAUGAGUUGUACUUGCCUGAUGGUAAUACUGAGUUGAUUUGCAGGAAGGGUAGUCUGAGGUGUAGUUGUGCUACAGUGCAAAGAGUUAAUGCUUUCUCUUACCCAAAGAAGCAGUACAAACCUGAACACCACAAACCAGGCAGCAAUGGCAGAGUUCGUGUCACAGAAAUUAAUCAUGUCAGAGCACACUGGAGCAGAACUGUGUGAUAUAUACGUUGCUGGACUGAAACAGAUGUGAAAAAAGAGCCACUGUGAGAUAAUGACUCAGUGGACCCAUGGGUGCAAUUUUUUUGUGCCUAAAUUGUAGCUCAGUAAAACUAGAUAGCAUUAGGAAUGCUGUUAUGACCAUACUUCUGCUACACAGUAGAUUUUGCUCCUUUUAUUGAGUGUAUGGCUCAUAAAUGUGGACAUUUAAUAGAAAUACAGUUGUGUGCCUUCCUUCCUCACUCCUCUUUUCCUUAAGUACUACCAGCUCGCAAUUUUCUGGGGGCUGGAUAAGGCAGAAAUGUGGUAAAUGUGAUUAAUAGACAAGCUAACCUAGUGAACUGUAAUGCAAGAUAUGAUUGGGAAAAGGAGAAAACUUCAUUGGCCAUGGACUACAGAGAUUCUCCAGCUGAGGUAAACUGGUAGGUGUGGAUAGUGAAGGUGUGGCUGUACUGCUUUUAGACCAAAGCUGGCCUGCUUAAGAUACUUCAGAUUAUGCUGCAUCCAACAAUGUGGUUGACCCACAACCUAGAUAAAGUCUCCAGAGACAUUCUGAACAGCUGGCUGCCAAGGAAAUGAGUGAGUCCAUGCUCCCAAUGAUUCUCAGGAUUUGUGAGUAAAGAGAAGGUGAACAGGGAGAUGGUUUAGCUUUUCAAAUCCAGAAGCACAAUUCUGAGUUGGGGACUCCAGCCUUUUUCUUUUAGAAGAGUACCUCUAGUAGAUUGCACCUCAUCUUUAUUGAUCUAACACUUGUAUGGACAAUAUUUAUAUGCUAUAUCUUUUAUUCACCCACUAUAUUGUUUGUGUUUUUAAUUGCUGAAUUGCUGUUGUGUGACUGGGACAGAUGAAGAAAUCACAGCUGUAAUCACAAUUGGCACAGACUUUCACUGAGUUUCUGCUAUAUCUUGUGUUCCUUCCCCUUGAAGGUACAAAGCAGACUGUUGUGUAAGAUGUGACACAGUAGUGUUACAGAGAACAUGCAAUCCCAAUAGGAUUGGGAUAGGAUAGACUUUCUUAAGCGUUGUGUGACCAUAGCACCCAUAUAAACAAUGCGUAGCUCUGGGAAGAGAGUUAUUGCAGCAACAUGGAGAUUUGGGGCUGCUCAGACCUGUGAAAGCAGCCUGUAGGCAAUACUCAGAAGGCUGUCAUAAAUGAGAACAGUUCCUAGCUGACUGUAACUAAGCACCAAAGAGUGAUCUCUGGUUUUGUGCCAAAAUAAAGCAGAUACGGAUUCAGAUCACGCAAGAGAAUGUGAAAAAUCUAUAAAAGACACUCAUCACAGAAGGUCUGUACAGUAAUACCUGCACAUAUCCCUGCACACUCAGCCAGUGUAUUUAAAAUGUCUCAUCUUUUUUGAGAGACUACUUUAGUCUGAUAGUCUUUUUUGAGAGACUAUUUUGAGUACCUAUACUGUCCAAAAAAAGACCCAAAAAGAACUACUGUUGCAGUCACGUGUUUUGUAUUACUAGAAGGGUUUUUAAUGGGGGCUGGUGUAGGCAUAGGGAUAAAAGGUCAGGUUCUUUUCUGCGGUAUAACUGUCUGUAUGAUACUUAGACUGGAGAGUCAUUUUGCGCUUCCUUAGACCUUGGCUGAGAUCAGAGGGGACAUCUGCUUUACUGGGAAGUGGCAUAAAGUGCAGAGAUGUGGCCUGACCUAGGAGGUUCACAAAUACAGUUCAGCAUUUCACAGACUUAGCAGCUCAGUUUUGAAGACAGCGUGUGCAUAAAUGAGCUUAGCACAGUUCAUAAGCUAAUAAACUCUGAGUCUUGCUACCCCACAGUAAGUGGGGCACAGAGCAGCACUAGUGCAGCUUUGUUGCUCUGUGGCCUGGAGCUGGUUCAUCGUUCUUAGAUUUGUAUGCAACGUGCUGGCCCCACACCAUGUUCAGCACAGUCAGAGCCUGUUGAGGUCUGUCUGCACCCAUCAGUGCAGCAUGAUUUGGGAGGUUGUUUUCAGCGUCCUUUGAAUGAGUCACAGAUUUGUCUGGUUAUUCUGCUUUUCAGAGCUCCUCUACUUAGUUUUUGGACUAUAAGUGGGCUGUUCUUCAGGCUUGUGAUUUACCAGCAUUUGGUAAAGAAUAAAAUUGCUUUGUUCUAGAGAAAGUUGAGUUGAAGACACCUUAUUGGAUUCUGAAACAGUGACAAAAGUUGAUUUAAACUAUUGGGGUUAGUUUGGGGGUUGGUUUGGGUUUUGAGUGGGUUUUUUUCCUGGUCUUUCAACUUGAUUAUCAGAUGUGUGAAUGUGCCAUUUUGGCAAGGUGUCAUUUUCCAGUUCAUUGCUUUGGAAUGCCAUGUGAGAAAUGUGCAUUCGCAUUACAAACAGCUUUAAUGGAUAAUUGGAUAAGUGCAAUUUAAUGAGAGAAAUGAAAUUUUUUAAAUCAGUGUUUAUGUAAUUCAUCUGUCAAGAAAUUACCUUUAUGCUAUAACAUAACAUUAAGGGAGACAAAAUAAAAUAAUGAGAUGAAUAAAUUAUCGUGUACCGAACAUUUGUGUUAGGUAUGCUUAUUCUUCUUUCCAGUUGUGGCUGUUAGUAAUGCUUUUGCAAGAAAAGGAAAUCCUGAUGCAGUAAAUGAAUGUCGAAUAGAAACUUCCAUUUUCCUUCAGUCCAGAUUUUGACAAUGGCUUCUUUGCUAGGAGUGGCCAAGUUGUCUCCUGUCUAGGACUCAAAACCCCAAUGCUCAGGUGCCCAAGUCCUGGUGUACACAACUUGAUACACAGUGGAGAGUCCUGAGGACUUCUGUUGUUGCUAAAGAUGUUAUGCUGAUAUAGUCAGAUCUCUACUUAAAAAUAAGCUCUAUGGUUCUCUGAAGCAACAUGGAAAAUAUUCUUGGACUUCCUGGGGUUUAGAAAAAGGAGGAGACCUGUAUUUGUUUUGCCUGACUUUGGUGAUCUGGGCUGCUUACAUUUAAAGAUCGGAAAAAGACUUGUCAGUAGGCAGAAGGUUUUAUCUGAGACAAUGGUUGCGUGGAGCUGCCUGCCUCCAUGGACUGGCAAUGGGGAGGCUCUGGUAGAGGAAGGUAUUUGUCAACCUACAUGGUCACUUUUGGCUCUCAAAGUUAGGGGAUGUCUUACAUUUCUGUUUGAUCCUAAGAACGUUCUGUCACUGCUGUUAAUUAAACAUUAUUAACUCACCUCUUUUCCUAAAGCAAUGCUUCCAGAUUUAUUUCUGUUUUGUAUAAUGGCAGUCCUUUUGGCCAGUGUUUUGGGAUUUGUACUAGGGACUACAAAAUGGAAAAGUGUGAACCAAAAAGCCAGCUUUCAUACCUUAGAGAUAGAGACAGACGUGUAUUUAUUACAGGCUGAGAGCAGAGUGGGUUUUGCAACAGCCUCUCUAGGGCUGUAAUAUAAUAUACUACCCCACUGUAUAUGAGACUGUUGAAAGUGCCCAGAUUGCACCCUAUAACUGUCCUGGAGUGAAACUCUCCUUUAUGCAGUUACUGGUUGCAGUUCCCGACAUGAACAACAUGAGUUAGUUUGAGCUCAGACCUGCCAUAUGUAACUAAGAGCUUUACCAGACUGCAUGUAUUCUUCACAGGGUGGGCCCUGAAAGCCCUAAGUUGUGUUUGCAUUCACAGGUGCACUGUCAUU
This is a non-coding RNA of Phalacrocorax carbo (great cormorant), 6517 nucleotides long. The record is from RefSeq and is a predicted model, not a curated record. Lineage: Eukaryota; Metazoa; Chordata; Aves; Suliformes; Phalacrocoracidae.